CCUACGGGCGGCAGCAGUGGGGAAUAUUGGACAAUGGGCGAAAGCCUGAUCCAGCCAUGCCGCGUGUGUGAAGAAGGCCUUCGGGUUGUAAAGCACUUUCAGUGGGGAAGAAAGCCUUGGGGCUAAUACCCUCGAGGAAGGACAUCACCCACAGAGGAAGCACCGGCUAACUCCGUGCCAGCAGCCGCGGUAAUACGGAGGGUGCGAGCGUUAAUCGGAAUUACUGGGCGUAAAGCGCGCGUAGGCGGUCUGAUAAGCCGGUUGUGAAAGCCCCGGGCUCAACCUGGGAACGGCAUCCGGAACUGUCAGGCUAGAGUGCAGGAGAGGAAGGUAGAAUUCCCGGUGUAGCGGUGAAAUGCGUAGAGAUCGGGAGGAAUACCAGUGGCGAAGGCGGCCUUCUGGACUGACACUGACGCUGAGGUGCGAAAGCGUGGGUAGCAAACAGGAUUAGAUACCCGAGUAGUC
Molecule: ribosomal RNA, 465 nt
Filed under: Vreelandella stevensii
Lineage: Bacteria; Pseudomonadati; Pseudomonadota; Gammaproteobacteria; Oceanospirillales; Halomonadaceae
Description: partial 16S ribosomal RNA
Rfam family: Bacterial small subunit ribosomal RNA
Source: RNAcentral